AACGAACGCUGGCGGCGUGGUUGAUACAUGCAAGUCGAACGGGAAACAAGUCUUCGGACUUGGAGUACAGUGGCGGACGGGUGAGUAACGUAUGAUCAAUCUGCCCGGAAGACCAGGAUAGCCGUCCGAAAGGACGGGUAAUACUGGAUAAGCCCACGGGAGGGCAUCCUUCUGUGGGAAAAGGAUUGGGAUCUUCGGACCUUUCGCUUUCGGAUGAGAUCAUAACCUAUCAGUUAGUUGGCGGGGUAACGGCCCACCAAGACGACGACGGGUAGCCGGCCUGAGAGGGUGGACGGCCACACUGGAACUGAGACACGGUCCAGACUCCUACGGGAGGCAGCAGUGCUGAAUUAUUCGCCAAUGCGCGAAAGCGUGACGGUGCGACGCCGCGUGCGGGACGAAGGCCUUCGGGUUGUAAACCGCUGUCAGGGAUUAGAAAACCAGUGCAGUUAACAGCUGUAUUGUUGAUCAGUCCCAAAGGAAGCACAGGCUAAUCUCGUGCCAGCAGCCGCAGUAAAAC
Molecule: ribosomal RNA, 520 nt
Filed under: uncultured bacterium
Lineage: Bacteria
Description: bacterial SSU rRNA
Rfam family: Bacterial small subunit ribosomal RNA
Source: RNAcentral